UAGCAGAGGGUGCGAGCGUUGUCCGGAAUCACUGGGCGUAAAGGGCGCGUAGGUGGCGCCCCAAGUCUGUGGUGAAAGCUCGAUGCUCAACAUCGAGUCGGCCACGGAAACUGGGGGGCUGGAGCACUGUAGAGGCUAAUGGAAUUCCGGGUGUAGCGGUGGAAUGCGUAGAGAUCCGGAAGAACACCGGUGGCGAGGCGGUUAGCUGGGCAGUUGCUGACACUGAGGCGCGACAGCG
RNAcentral lists this ribosomal RNA (238 nucleotides) under uncultured bacterium. RNAcentral describes it as "partial 16S ribosomal RNA". It matches the Rfam family "Bacterial small subunit ribosomal RNA", at positions 523 to 761 of the family's 1533-position model. The record is from RNAcentral.